This 1374-nucleotide long non-coding RNA is filed under the name Volvox carteri. RNAcentral describes it as "long non-coding RNA (VCAR_LNC000616)". Lineage: Eukaryota; Viridiplantae; Chlorophyta; Chlorophyceae; Chlamydomonadales; Volvocaceae. The record is from RNAcentral.
CCUGACAGGUUCCAGGGUAUUCGUCAGCCCGCCAGCAACUUCUUAUUGUAUGGACCGCCAGGGACUGGAAAGGUGGGGGGAGGAUUGGGUGGGGAUCGGGGUAGCGGUGGUAGGUUAGGUGUUUGCAUAACGCCAUGGGAGGCUGCGGGGGGGCCCCCACAUAGGUAUGUAGAGGCGAAGCACACGGUCGUAUCCUUAGUCCCACCCCCCUUUACGGCCACGUACGGCCAUCAGCCUCUACACAAACUCCCCAUGCUUUGGACUUUGGCAGCUAACCUUUUGCAAUUUGCGUUUUGAUUCUCCGCCUCGGCUGAUGUGACUGUGGCUCUGCCCGGCUCUCAUCUCGGGUUGGUAAGUAUUAGAUAGUAGUUACAAUAUUAAUUUAAUUAUGUGCCCGCGUGUAAGCCUAACUCCCCUCUCCUUACCUUACAAGGGUUUUUGAGUCACGGUUUCGGAGCUGUCGGCGGCUCCUUGGGCACCGACAAGUUCUGUUUGUCGUGUUUAGCCCCCUGAUGGAUUUCGCCGUCCUCACCGUCGUGGCUGCACACACCCCUCCCUCCGUCUCCUUUCCUUCCUCGCGCACAUGCAUCAGACCAUGCUGGUCGAGCGCAUCGCUGCGGAAGCGGGAGCGACUCUGUUGGUGCUCACGCCCGGUGCAAUACUUUCAAAAUGGUGGGAUUGGGAAGGGAGGGAAAUUUGGGGAUGGCGGGAUGGCCGGAUGGUUUCCCUUUUUGACACCUUUGGUUGAUGAUGAUGCACCGAUGCCACGUGUACAUACGGCAUGCACGCACAUAGCUAUACAUCUAUAAACGGGCACGUGCAUCCCGUACAUGUACCCGUAUACACACACGCGCUCAUGCCCGUACAUGUGCCGUACUCAGGAGCGGCGAGAGUGAGAAACAGCUGCGGGCGGUGUUCGAGGUAGCUCGCGUCAAACAGCCGUGUAUCGUGUUCAUGGUGGGUGGGUGUCUCCUUGCGCUAGAGGAGAAACAAUGCCCGUAUGUAAAGGUAUUUUUUGAGGGGGAAGAUGGGUUAGAUGAGGGUUAUGGAUAAGGGCAGAUAGGGCCGUGUGUUUUGCCCCUCUAUUCAGCGUUUUUUUCUGCGGAAUACAUUCCGAGUUCGGAAUAGAAGCUCUACUGUGAUGUGAUGUGAUGUAAGAGGGUUAAGUAUGCUGUUCGGCGCGCGACUCGUCCUCGAUUCUGUGACGUGACAAAAGAUUUGGUGAUGGGGCUUCGGGCAGCUUUAUGCGUGGCCCUGCUUCUCCGCCCCUCGUCUUGAUGAUUCCAGUCCUUACAGCUCUUACCCCACAAACGUACCUCCACUCCCAGCCCCGCCCGUACUUCGUCCCUGAACCUUCUCAGCGCCCACAUCCGC